This 11143-nucleotide long non-coding RNA is filed under the name Mytilus galloprovincialis (Mediterranean mussel). Lineage: Eukaryota; Metazoa; Mollusca; Bivalvia; Mytilida; Mytilidae. The record is from RNAcentral.
CAAUGACAUGCAUACAGGGAUAGAAUUUUGAAAAAUUUAUUGUAAGUAAUAAUUUCAUACUUAGUGCCAAUAAUUGUUUAUUUUUUUGUAUUGUGUAUGGUCUCCUUAAAGUUAUAUUUUGAGGAGGAUUAAGGGGGGUGGGGCUAAUGGGCCCGGGCACCCCUUUUGAUAAAAUUUUGUUUGAUUAAUUUAUUUAGGGAUCAAAUCAUUAGUGAUUUUUUGAGCGGGUCCUUUUUAAAAAAAUUCUUGAUCCGCCACAGACAUACAGAAAUUAAGUAUGUUUUAUAAUUCUAAGAAAUUCUAUGAUAGAUAUAUAUCAAUUAAAAAAUAUUUAUAUUGAUAUAAGCAUUAGUGAUAAAUUUAAUAAUCUGUCACCUAAGGAUAUUAUGUCCUACCUUUAGGCAUUAUGCUUUCUGAUGAGUCAUAAGUAUGCGUCUGUUCCUAUCUGUCUGUCCGGCUUCAAGUUUAAGUUUUUGAUGAAGUUGAAGUCCAAUCAACUUGAAACUAGGACAAUAAUUAUUGUUCCCUAUAAUGAUAUGAUCUUUCUUAUUUUAUUAUCCAAUUAGUUUUUUGCCCCCAAUUUCAUGGUCCACUUAACAUACAAAAAUGAUAGUGCUAGUGGGUCAUCUGUUCACUAAGGACACAUUAUUGUUAUUGAUUUAAAUGCAAAGUAUUAAGAAUUAGUUUCUGAAUUUCACCAGUUGAUAAUUGCCUACAAUAUAAAAUUUAAGAAUUUUGUACAAGUAUGUCAUUUGAAAGUAUAUUUGACAUGGAUGAGAGUUUAGAUUGGGUUUACAAAAUAGGGAAUAAGAGGCAAAAUGUACAGAAUAAAGGGGGGGAAAAAAGGGGAAAAGAAGGAAAACUAAAACUAAAUAAAUAUUUAAGGAAUGACUGUAAUAUUUUUUCUGUCUAUGAAGAAAUAACAUAAAAAAUUUGGUGCACACUGAAUAACGCGUGUAGCGGGUUAUUUUGCAGUGUGCACCACUUCUUUUAUGUUAAUUAUUUUGAAUAAACAGAAAAAAAUAUUACAGUCAUUUCUUAUAAUUUAAUUCUAAAUUCCAUUUUAAACGGUAGAAAUCCAUUAAAAAACGUUGAUGACAUCUCAGUCACAUGACUGAACUAUGUCUAUGGGCUGAUAACAAAAUAAUGUCAGCCAAUCAGAAGACGCGUUACAUCCAAAAUUAAAUUAUUACAGAAUAACAGCUAGGGUGCUGAAAUGAAAUAUAAAAAAUAGAGAUUUAAAAAAAUAAUUUAAAGAAUAAAGAUACAUGUAUACAGAACCCCUAUCUAGACCUUAAAUAAAUCAAGCCAUAUAAACACAUAAAUGACAAAUACUCUGAAAUUGUGUUUAGGUCAGACAGGAGUUUGUCUGCAAAAGACUAGUAACUCUCCAAUAAAAAAAGAAAAACUGAAAAAAACUGAGAAAGACAUGAUUCAUACAUAAAAUACAAAAUUUAAAAUCUCAAAUCAAAAAAUUAUAAACAGUCAGGGGCGUUACUUAAACGAGUAGUUUUUUUUCGAGUUACUUAAAAAUAUAUUUAUAUAUAAGUAAUUUUUGUUUUUAAAAAUGAUAAAAUUACUUAAUAGAGUUCUUUUAAAUUCUACAAGAAUCAUAGAUUAAAUGUAGUUUGAAUGAGUUUUUUUUUAUCAUUUUAUAUCAUGAAAUAAAGAUUUUAUUAGAUAAAUUUGAGAAGAGUAUGGAGAUAAAGGUUUAAGUUAAAAAUCAUGACAAAAAUAUUACUUGAAUAAGUUAUUUUAUAUAUUUCUGAAAAAAAUAGUAAUAACACUUAUUGAAGGAACACAUGUAGUUGAUUUGGGUUAGCAGUUAUAAAUAACUUGAAAUCUUAAUUAAUUCACAAGUAUGUUUCUAUUUAUAUCAGUCUAUCUUCAAGAUUUAGGAGGAAAAUGAUAAUUUUAUAGUCCCUAGAGACCAAUCUUUAACCCAGAAGCAUCCUAUGAAAGAUAAGGGAUAAGUGCAUCAGUAAGUUGAUUAGUGUUACAUUUCAUGGGGAAAAUAACCAGAUGACUGUGAAAACUUGUUAAAGCUAGUAAAAUCUGCAUUAUUCAUGGACACCUAUAAAAAUGAUAUUUAGAAAAGUUACCUAUAUAAGACUAUUAAAAUAAUAUUUAAAAUAGCCUUGUUUUCAACAUAUCUUAUAUAGGAUUAGGUAAUUUCAAAUGUGACUUGUUUAAAUAAUGCCCCUGACUUAUGAUUUUUUUUCUGUUUGUCAAAAGUUUUAUUUUCUAUUUAGCUCAGCUGACCUUAGAGGCCAUGUGAGCUUUUGCCAUCCCUUGGAACAUCCAUUGUCUGGUGUACACUUUUUCAUAGAUCUUCUCUUUUAAAACUACUGAAUUAAUUAAUUUUAACCAAACUUAGGCUAAAUGAUCCUUAGGGUAUCUAGUAUAUGUUUUGUAAUUUUUAUACGACCGCAAACAUUUUUUGGUCGUAUAUAUUGGUAUCACGUUGGCGUCGUCGUCGUGGGAAGACAUUUGGUGUUCGCACUCUAACUUUAGUAAAAGUAAAUAGCAAUCUAUGAAUUUAAACACAAGGUUUAUGACCAUAAAAGGAAGGUUGGGAUUGAUUUUGGGUGUUUUGGUUCCAAUUGACAGUUUAGGAAUUAGGGGCCUAAAAGGCCCAAAUAAGCAUUUUUCUUGGUUUUCGCACAAUAACUUUAGUAUAAGUAAACAGAAAUCUAUGAAAUUUUAACAUAAGGUCUAUGACCACAAAAGGAAAAUUAGGAUUGAUUUUGGGAGUUUAGGUCCCAACAGUUUAGAAAUUAGGGGCCAAAAACAGGUCCCAAAUAAGCAUUUUUCUUGGUUUUUGCACAAUAACUUUAGUAUAUAAGUUAAUAGAAGUCUAUGAAAUUUUAACACAAGGUUAAUGACCACAAAAGGAAGGUUUGGAUUGAUUUUAGGGGCCAAAAGGGUCCAAAAUUAAACUUUGUUUGAUUUCAUGAUAACAUCAAAAAAUGAAUUAUUGGGGUUCUUUGAUAUACCAAAUCUAACCGUGUAUUCAGAUUCUUAAUUUUUGGUCCUGUUUUCAAAUUGGUCUACAUUAAGGUCCAAAGGGUCCAAAAUUAAACUUUGCUUGAUUUUAACAAAAAUUGAAUUCUUGGGGUUCUUUGGUCUGCUGAAUCUAAACAUGUACUUAGAUUUUUGAUUAUGGGCCCAGUUUUUAAGUUGGUCCAAAUCGGGGUCCAAAAUUAUUAUAUUAAGUAUUGUGCAAUAGCAAGAAAUUUUCAAUUGCACAGUAUUCAGCAAUAGCAAGAAAUUAAUCUUCAAUUGCACAGUAUUGUGCAAUAGCAAGAAAUCUUCAAUUGCACAGUAUUGUGCAAUAGCAAGAAAUCAAUUGCACAGUAUUGUGCAAUAGCAAGAAAUCUUCAAUUGCACAGUAUUGUGCAAUAGCAAGAAAUCUUCAAUUGCACAGUAUUGUGCAAUAGCAAGAAAUAUCUAAUUGCACAAUAUUGCGCAAUAGCAAGAAAUUUUCAAUUGCACAGUUUUGCGCAAUAGCAAGAAAUAUUUAAUUGCACAGUAUUGUCCGGUUUUCAAAUUGGUCUUCAUUAAGGUCCAAAUUAAAGGGUCCAAAAUUAAACUUUGUUUGAUUUCAACAAAAAUUGAAUAUAUGGGGUUCUUCAAUAUGCUGAAUCUAACCAUGUAUUUAGAUUUUUAAUAUUUGAGCCCAGUUAUCAAAUUGGUCCACAUUGAGGUCUAAAGGUUCUAAAAUUGAACAUUAUUUGAUUUCAUCAAAAAUUGAAUUCUUGGGGUUCUAUGAUAUGCUGAAUCUAACCAUGUAUUUAGAUUUUUGAUAUUCAUGAUAUUGGACCAUAAUAGGUAAAUGUCCAUUUUAAAAUUUUUAAGUUUUUAAGUUUAAGUUCUUAUAGACCACAUUCAUUCUGUGUCAGAAACCUAUGUUGUGUCAACUAUUUAAUCACAAUCCAAAUUCAGAGCUGUAUCAAGCUUAAAUGUUGUGUCCAUACUUGCCCCAACUGUUCAGGGUUCGACCUCUGCGGUCAUAUAAAGCUGCGCCCUGCAGAGCAUCUGGUUAGCUCAUGGCGGCCCGAAAGGCCCUAUGUGAUCUUACGCCAUCACAUCGUAAACUAUUUUAAAAAAUCUUCUCCUCUGAAACGACUGGGCCAAAUACCUUCAAACUUUAACUAAUGUUCCUUAGGNAAAAGGCCCAAAUAAGCAUUUUUCUUGGUUUUCGCACAAUAACUUUAUAUAAGUAAAAGAAAUCUAAUGAAAUUUUAACAUAAGUCUAUGACCACAAAAGGAAAAUUAGGAUUUAUUUGGGAGUUUAGCCAACAGUUUAGAAAUUAGGGGCAAAAACAGGUCCCAAAUAAGCAUUUUCUUGUUUUUGCACAAUAACUUUAGUAUAAGUUAAUAGAAGUCUUGAAAUUUUAACAACAAGGUUAAUGACCACAAAAGGAAGGUUUGGAUUGAUUUUGGGAGUCUUGGUCCCAACGAAUUAGGGGUCAAAAGGGUCCAAAAUUAAACUUUGUUUGAUUUCAUGAACAUCAAAAAAUGAAUUAUUGGGGUUCUUUUGAUAUACCAAAUCUAACCGUGUGUUCAGAUUCUUAAUUUUUGUCCUGUUUUCAAAUGGUCUACAUUAAGUCCAAGGUUCCAAAAUUAAACUUUGCUUGAUUUUAACAAAAAUUGAAUUCUUGGGGUUCUUGGUCUGCUAAUCUAAACAUGUACUUACAUUUUUGAUUAUGGGCCAGUUUUAAGUUGGUCCAAAUCGGGGUCCAAAUUAUUAAUUAAGUAUUGUGCAAUAGCAAGAAAAUUUUCAAUUGCACAGUAUUCAGCAAUAGCAAGAAAAAAUCUUCAAUUGCACAGUAUUGUGCAAUAGCAAGAAACUUCAUUGCACAGUAUUGUGCAAUAGCAAAAAUCUUCAAUUGCACAUUUGGCAAUAGCAAGAAAUCUAAUUGCAUAAUAAUGCGCAAUAGCAAGAAAUUUUCCAUUGCACAGUUUUGCGCAAUAGCAAGAAAUAUUUAAUUGCACAGUAUUGUCCGGUUUUCAAAUUGGUCUUCAUUAAGGUCCAAAUUGAAGGGUCCAAAAUUAAACUUUGUUUGAUUUCAACAAAAAUUGAAUAUAUGGGGUUCUUCAAUAUGCUGAAUCUAACCAUGUAUUUAGAUUUUUAAUAUUUGAGCCCAGUUAUCAAAUUGGUCCACAUUGAGGUCUAAAGGUUCUAAAAUUGAACAUUAUUUGAUUUCAUCAAAAAUUGAAUUCUUGGGGUUCUAUGAUAUGCUGAAUCUAACCAUGUAUUUAGAUUUUUGAUAUUCAUGAUAUUGGACCAUAAUACAUGUAAUAGGUAAAUGUCCAAUUUAAAAUUUUUAAGUUUUUAAAUUUAAGUUCUUAUAGACCAUUGUAGACCCCAUUCAUUCUGUGUCAGAAACCUAUGUUGUGUCAACUAUUUAAUCACAAUCCAAAUUCAGAGCUGUAUCAAGCUUAAAUGUUGUGUCCAUACUUGCCCCAACUGUUCAGGGUUCGACCUCUGUGGUCAUAUAAAGCUGCGCCCUGCGGAACAUCUGGUUAGCUCAUGGCGGCCCCGAAAGGCCCUAAUUGUGACUUACGCCACACACAUCGUAAACUAUUUUUAAAACUUCUCCUCUGAAACGACUGGCCAAAUACCUUCAAACUUUAACUAAAUGUUCCUUAGGGUAUCUUGUUUUUGUUUAGUUAUUAUAAUUUAUAGAUAGAUAUAAACUGUUACAAAAUAAAUAAAGCAGCAAUAAUGUUCAGCAAAGUAAGAUCUACAAAAAAGUUAAUGUGACCAAAAUUGUUAAUUGACCUCUUAACGAGUUCUUGCCCUUUUAAGUCAAUUUUACACAACAUGCACAAUGUGUUGAUCAAGUUUGCUAUAACAUUUAAAAAUCUUUUCCUCUAAAAUACAGGUGAGCGAUUCAGGCUCUUGAGAGCAUCUUGUUAUCUUGUCCUUUAAUUAAGAAACACUGCAUAGUUUGGUAAACAAACUUUAAUAUUUUAAGAUUAAUCUGCCUUAAUUAUUAAGACUAAUCUUGACAACCCUUGGCUAUUUGAAGUUAUUGCCCCUGAAAAGCAAGUUCCCACAAAUUUUACAUGCUAUAUAUGUUUUUGUUAACAAUGAUUGUCAUAUUGAAAACAAUUAUAGAUAUCUUAAAGAUAAAUUUAAAACAGCAAAACGGUAAAACAGUAGUGUGGAUCCUUAUAUGAGUUAUUUGCCCUUGAAAGACGAAAUUUUAGCAGAAUUUCAAGUUUCAUGCAGAAAAUAGUACAUUGUAGUAUUGGUUUGUCCUUUAGAAAUUAUUUUACCAAAAAAUGUCUGUAAUGAUCACGAUAGAUAGAAAGAAAUUUAUUUUUAGCUCACCUGGCCCUAAGGGCCAAGUGAGCUUUUCUCAUCACUUGGCGUCCGGCGUCGGCGUAGCGUCAUCUGUCAUCGUUAGCUUUUACAAAAAUUUUUUCUCUGAAACUACUGGGCCAAAUUAAACCAAACUUGGCCACAAUCAUCAUUGGGGUAUCUAGUUUCAAAUAUAUGUGGCGUGACCCAGCCAACCAACCAAGAUGGCCACCACAGCUAAAAAUAGAACAUAGGGGUAAAAUGCAGUUUUUGGCUUAUAACUCAAAACCCAAAGCAUUUAGAUCAAAUCUGACAGAGUAAAAUUGUUUAUCAGGUCAAGAUCUAUCUGCCCUGAAAUUUUCAGAUGAAUCAGACAACCGGUUGUUGGUUUGCUGCCCCUGAAUCGGUAAUUUUAGGGAAAUUUUGCUGUUUUUGGUUAUUUAAUAUCUUGAAUAUUAUUAUAGAUAGAGAGAAACUGUAAACAGCAAUAAAUGUUCAGCACAGUAAGAUUUACAAAUAAGUCAACAUGACUGAAAUGGUCAGUUGACCCCUUUAGGAGUUAUUGCCCUUUAUAGUCAAUUUUUAACCAUUUUUCCUAAAUCUUAGUAAUCUUUUACAAAAAUCUUCUCCUCUGAAACUACUGGGCCAAAUUAAGCCAAACUUGGCCACAAUCAUCUUUGGGGUAUCUAGUUUUCUAACCAAGAUGGCCACCACGGCUAAAAAUAGAACAUAGGGGUAAAAUGCAGUUUUUGGCUUAUAACUCAAAAACCAAAGCAUUUAGAGCAAAUCUGACAAGGGGGGGGUAAAUUGUUUAUCAGGUCAAAAUCUAUCUGCCCUGAAAUUUUCAGAUUGAUCGGACAACCGGUUGUUAGGUUUGCUGUCCCUAAAUUGGUAAUUUUAAGGAAAUUGUGCCGCUUUUUGUUAUUAUUUUGAAUAUUAUUAUAGAUAGAGAUAAACUGUAAACAGCAAUAGUGUACAGCAAAGUAAGACCUUAAAAUAAGUCAACAUGACCAAAAUGAUCAAUUGAGCCCCUAAGGAGUUAUUGUCUUCUAAAGUCAAUUUUUAUAAUAAUUUUCAUAAAAUUUGUAAAUUUUUACUAACAUUUGUAGAAUCUAUUUUGAUAUACGAUUCCAGUAUUUGCUGAAUACUGUUUGAAUUUUUCUGCUUAAGAAUUCGAUUGAUUACUCGUAAUGAAUGAUAUAUUAUAUAUCUAUUUUCAACUGUGUUCUUUUUCUAGACAAAAAUUCAUAGAAAUUGAUCCAAGAUCCACCUAUUUAGGUGAAAAUCAUAACUCUAUCCUAAUUUCAUAGACAGAAUUUCAUAGAAAUUAAUCUAAUAUCUAUAUCCAUUAGUGCAAAUCACAAUUUUAAUGAUGUGCCUUCAAGCAGUUCAUGUGUAAAAAAAAUUCUAAGGAUGAUACUGUGGAUUCAUUUAUUUUCGAGGGUAUCAAUUUUCGUAGAUUAAAGAGAUUUUGUAUAUUUCACGGAUAUUUGUUUUAUGGUUUUGUCAAAGUCUGUAUACAACCUGAUGGCACAUUUGUAAUUCGUUUAACAUUUAAAAUUAUGGUUCAUCUGUUUCAAUGAAAACCAAGAAAAUUGGUAUCCCAUGAAUAAUGAUUCCACAGUAAACAUUUUCAGCAUGAAUGAUGAAGUUUUAUGACAUUCUGUUCUUUUUUCAGAUUGACAUAUCCAUAGAACAUGCAGUUAGCCUAGACAAACAGGAAGAGAAAGGUCUCUGAUUCAGUUCUCUUUGAAGUUCAAGGUCUUUUUUAAUCUAAAUUAUAAUGGGAAGAUGUGAAAGGUAAGUUUUAAAGUUUGUAAGUGUUCAAAAAUAUGUUAUUUCUAACAAAAUGUGCUGUUUCACAAAUAAAAUACUCUGUCUCUUAGACACUUAUGUAGCAAUAUGGCCACUAUAUUGGUGUAUGAAAUGAUUGUAAGCUGUAUUUGCCUGACCGGUUAAACUGACCAUGCGGUCAUUUUCAUGGAUCUUUUAUGGAUCUAGUUUAUGUAUUAUUAUUGAAAAAAGCAUCAAAUUUUCAAUCAUAAGUAAAGCAGGCUUGGUAGUUGUUAAUUUCUGUGUCAUUUUGGUUCUUGUGGAGAGUUGUCUCAUUGGCAAUUAUACAACAUCUUCUUUUUUAUAUGACAUUUGAAUGUUGCAUUUGAUAUAUAUAUAUAUAUACGUAUAUUGCAAUCACACAUUAGCUGGCCAAUUGUUUAUUAGCAUCCAUUGUUCACAAAUAACUAUUUGUGAAAUUAAGGGACAUGCUAAGGACAACCUUUUAAUGCCCCCGCAGUAGUAUUUACCCUUGACCUUCUGUAUGACUGUACAUCCUUCCAUACCUCCCAAAGUUGGUUACUGUUCUCAAACUUCAGUUUGCCUCAACCAAAUGUUAUGAUACUGAUACAUAAUGCUUAUACCAAAAAACACAGAUCAAGUUUGAAUUUUGGUGGUGUCAUGUACUUUAACCGUUCUAGAGUUAUGCCCCUUUACAAACAAACAAAAAUGCUGAAACUUUAUUUCAAUGUUCUCACUUUAGUUUGCCUCUAAACCAAAUGCUGUGAAACUAAUACACAGCAAUGCUUAUUACCACAAAAUACAGAUCAAGUAUGAAUUAAGGGGGUGGCGUCACUUAACUGUUCUGCAGUUAUGUCCCUUAACAAAUGAAAAAGAUGCUUAUAUUUAUAGUUUCUGUUCUCUAACUUUGGUUUGCCUCAACUAAAUGCAAUGAAACUUAUACACAAUGCUUGUUACCACAUAAUACAGAUCAAGUUUGAAUUUUAAGGGGGUCACUUUAACUGUUCUAGAAUUAUGCCCCUUCACAAAUUGAAUGAUUGCUGAAAUUUUCAUUUCAAUUCACUAACUUUAGCUUGCCUCAACCAAAUGCUAUGAUAUGUAACACAAUACUUAUCACCACAAAAUACAGAUCAAGUUUGACUUUAAAGAUUGUCACUAAAUUUUCUAGAGUUAUGCGCCUUUGAAAAUGGAAAAAUUACUGAAUUUUUGUUUCCGUUCUCUAAAUUAAGUUUGCAUAAACCACAUUUUAUGGAACUUGUACACAAUACCUAUUACCACUAAAUCAGAUUAAGUGUUUUUGGUGGAGUCACUUUUACCGUUCUUCAGUUAUGUCCUUUUAUAACUUUAUAUGAUAUACAAGAAGGGCAUCAUCUGUGAUCCAUUGAUACAUUCCCUAUUUAAUUUUUUGUUAUUAUUUUGAUUUUUUUGGUGUCGGAGCCAAUAAAUGCCCAUUUGUUUGUAGGUAAAAACAUGAAGAAUCGGUAAAGUAACACACACACAUAUAUAUAUAUAUCAAAAAAAUUAAAACACCAGAUUAGAAAAAAAAGAUUCAGUAUGAUUGCUUUAAGGAAACAACCGCCAUAAUAAGAAACAAAAUUUAAAUAUCAUUAGUGUGGUAAGUCUUCAAUUAUUGAACAAAACAAAUGACAUACAUUAAGCCAUGAAAGACAUGUGUUAACAAAUUCAUUUAUUAUCAUGAUUAUAAGACAGAACAAAAUAUGCUGGAAAAAAAAUCAUGAAUAAUAUGCCUGAAGGACUUUAAAAUAUUGAACUUGAAUUGACUUUUCUUUGUAGGAUGCAUAGAAAUUUUUGGAGGACAAAUUGGCGUGAGUCUAAAAAGACACAGAUUUGAAGAUAAGCGAGAGAAAAAGAAUGACAAACAUAGUUUAAAGGACUGAAGACUUCCUGAUAUCUUUCAAACUGUUCUUUUGGUAUAAAUGUAAUAAUGCAAUAUCAUCUUAUUUGUAUAGGCAUACAUCCUGUAAAUCUUGUUGAUGCCUUUUAGCUCCUUAAAUGCAACCACUAUUUAGUAACAUUGUUGUGAUUGUAGUUCUAUAUGUGAGCAUAUUAGUUAACUAGACUGUCAUUGACUGUAGUAAUUGCAUAUAUACAUGCAUUAUUAUAUACCAUACUUAUCAUCAAUCUUAGUCUUUUUAAUUCAGAAGAAAUUUUUAAAACAAGUUAUUCUAAUCAGACUAACCUAUUAUAUGCACUUUGUCAAAUAUAGCAAAUAUGUUGCAAAUGUGGUGCAAUAGAGAGCAACCUAUAUAUUUCUUAGAAAAUACUUUUUUCUGAACUGUAAUGAAAAGUAUGCUUAUAUAGUUAAAAUACUUUUUUUGUAAGUGAGACUUAUUUUCUAUGAAUCAUAAUAUUUUAACAAAUAUUAGAAACAAAUUUACAUAAAAACUUUCUUGUGUAUCAAAAUUCUGUGUUGUAUAAAAAUCUUAAAGAUUUUGUUUUUUCAGGAUAUUUCCCAAUAUGUUUAAGAAAUCAAAAUUCUAAAUUUUGGCUUGUAGAUUUUAUUUCGGGAUUUUUCCCGAAAUGGGAAAAAAAAAUCUAUGCACCAAAAUAAAUAAAGUGUGUGCCUGAUAUUAGAUUUAUAUUUUCGGGAUUUUUCCCGAAAUGUGAAAAGAAAUUAUUAGUCAUGAGAUCUAGCAUAUACAUUGAAUUUUUCGGGAUAAAUCCCGAAAAUAUUUGCAGACAUCUGUAUUAUACAUUUUGUAAUUUGUUUAUAUUUUCGGGAUUUUUCCCGAAAUGUGAAAAGAAAUUAUUAGUCAUGAGAUCGAGCAUAUACAAUGAACUUUUCGGGAUAAAUCCCAAAAAAAUUUACAGACAUCUGUGUUAUACAUUUUGUACUUAGUUUAUUUUUGUCGGGAUAUUUCCCGAAAAUUGUUUCAGAUUUUUUUUUUAAACGCUUUGCCAACAUAUAUGUCCUAAAAUUUAAUGUUGAAAAUGAGUUCGGGACAUUUCCCGAAUAAAUAGUUGUCAUAUACAUUUUUUUACCACAAAUAGUUCAUUACUUUCAUAUAUUUUGGG